CAGUCGCCGCGGUAAUACGAGGGGGGCAAGCGUUGUUCGGAAUUAUUGGGCGUAAAGGGUGCGUAGGCGGUUUGAUAAGUCUGAUGUGAAAUCUAUGGGCUCAACCCAUAGUCUGCAUCGGAAACUGUCAGGCUUGAGAGUGGGAGAGGUGAGUGGAAUUUCCGGUGUAGCGGUGAAAUGCGUAGAUAUCGGAAGGAACACCUGUGGCGAAAGCGGCUCACUGGACCAUUUCUGACGCUGAUGCACGAAAGCUAGGGGAGCAAACAGGAUUAGAUACCCCCGUAGUCCCUGUCUCUUAUAC
Molecule: ribosomal RNA, 301 nt
Filed under: uncultured bacterium
Lineage: Bacteria
Description: partial 16S ribosomal RNA
Rfam family: Bacterial small subunit ribosomal RNA
Source: RNAcentral